GAAAGAUCGGAGGCCUUAUGUCGACCUUAAUCAAGGGGUUUACCAUCAACUAGAGGCGUAUGAACAGAAGAUGUUCGGAUCACUGGAGAACCAGCCUGCAUUUGGCAUGCCGGUCUUUUCUUCUCCUGUGCUGCCAUCAUUGAGCUUUAACUACCCAAAGCCUAGUGAUUCAGUUCAAAUUCCAGCCUUCAACUUUUCUGGUGCUACAUCAAUUCCUCCCCAGGAAUUC
Molecule: unclassified non-coding RNA, 229 nt
Filed under: Hevea brasiliensis (rubber tree)
Lineage: Eukaryota; Viridiplantae; Streptophyta; Magnoliopsida; Malpighiales; Euphorbiaceae
Source: RNAcentral